UACACUACCUAAUUUCUGACAGUACCAACUGAAACACAAACAAUCUGGGUAAAAUCUACUUGAAGACAUUAGGCCCACACUGCCCCUUUGCGCAUGCGUCUGCGGUGAUUCUUGGCUGCAGGCCAGAGGAACGGUUCUCUUUCGCGCCUCCCUCCUCCUGGUGUGUGGAAAUGUUGUAAGACAAUUUGGAGUGGAGUGGAGGUGGUGACCCUCAGCCCACGUGUCAGUGUCUUCAAGGAGAGAUGGCCUGGUUUAUUCAAUGAGGCUUAGAUCAAGGAGGAGUUCCGACACAUAACAACUCUUUCACUGGAAGAGACUUUGAUGCUGAAACUGGAUGGGUACACUAACACCACUCGCUCCAGCUGAUGCGUGCCAAAGGAGGAGAUGCUGGCUCCAGGAUGCGCCCUCUUCUGAGCACAAUUGAUGAGGCCCAGAGUGUUGGGAAAAAGGGAUGCAGUGGCCAGGUGUCUGAUUGAAGACCUUGGGGAACGCCAAGAAGACCUUUUUCAAGACAGCCAGGACGAGCAUGACAACGUCGUGGACCAAACUAUGAAGGUGCUUGUGAUCCAUGAUGCCAGGGACGGGACCAGCAGAUGUGUCCAUUGUCAUAGAGGGAGAAAGAGUUUUGUGCGGAAAGGUCCAGAGCCGCAAAUAAACAAUUUGUUCUGAAGUGGAUGUUGACUUGUUUUAGUGCCGAGUGACACAAACACAACAUAAUGAGAUGUGGAAUGUAAUGGAUGUGGAGAAACCUUGUUCUGUUAAAAGUGGACUGUUUACUGGCACGUAAAGGUUUUAAUAGUUGAGUAAAUUGCACUUGGAAGAUUAUGUUAAAAAUGUUUACAAUUUCCAUGCACUUUACUGUUAAAACAAUGUGAUUGUAUAACUAUUUUGAAGAUUCUGCUCGGUGUUAACAAUUGAAAUGCACUUAACUGUUUAAAUAAUCUCAAUGUAUGACCAUAUUGCACUUAUACAUUUGGUCAAUAAAAAAAACAUGAUCAAUAAAA
Molecule: long non-coding RNA, 1004 nt
Organism: Gymnodraco acuticeps
Lineage: Eukaryota; Metazoa; Chordata; Actinopteri; Perciformes; Bathydraconidae
Exons: 5
Source: RefSeq, a predicted model, not a curated record